CUUGAUUUUAACUUAUAUAGGGAAUCACUGGAGCGUGACAGCAGCGGGCCCUCUUAGGCAGUCAGUGGGCCCCUACUAAUGAAAAAUUCUAGAUCCGCGAAUGGAUACUACCGCAGAGGUAAAACCAUACACAUAUGGGUUAUUGUACAUGAAAUGCAUGCUUCAAUUCAUUUUUGUUGAUUAUAGACCCUUUGGAACUCUAUGUGGGCUAUUUCAGCAACUAGGCAAACAAUCCCCAAACUAGAUACACGGUUAGAUUCAGCAUGUCAACGAAUUCCAAAUAUCUAUAUUAAAGGACAUUUGUCUAUAAAUUUGGACCCCACAAAAUUGAAAAAGGGAUCAAAAAUAUAAAAAAAUGCAUGCAUCGAAUACAUUUGUUAUUGAAGGCAUGACUGUAACAAUAGGAUGAAUAUACAAAAAUAUCUUAUUCUGGGGUCUCAUUGGGGGGUUCUGAUCCCGGAUCCCGCUUACUGUUUUGGCAGAUUCCCGUAUUCCGCUUAUUGUUUUGUCAGAUUCCCGUAUCCCGCUUAUACUAU
Molecule: long non-coding RNA, 536 nt
Filed under: Mytilus galloprovincialis (Mediterranean mussel)
Lineage: Eukaryota; Metazoa; Mollusca; Bivalvia; Mytilida; Mytilidae
Source: RNAcentral